This 597-nucleotide small RNA is filed under the name Pan troglodytes (chimpanzee). RNAcentral describes it as "processed transcript". Lineage: Eukaryota; Metazoa; Chordata; Mammalia; Primates; Hominidae. The record is from RNAcentral.
ACCGGCUCUUUUCAUCUUCACGGCCACCCACAGAAAUGAAGCAGAGUGGCCUAGGCUCACAGUGCACAGGGCUGUUCAGCACCACAGUGCUGGGUGGCUCCUCCAGUGCCCCGAAUCUUCAGGACUACGCCCGCAGCCAUGGCAAAAAGCUACCACCUGCCAGUCUGAAGCACCGAGAUGGGUUUGAAGGGUGUUCCAUGGUGCCUACCAUCUACCCUCUGGAAACACUGCAUAAUGCCCUUUCCCUACGUCAAGUGAGUGAAUUCUUGAGUAGAGUCUGCCAGCGCCACACUGAUGCCCAGGCACAGGCAUCUGCAGCUACUUGGGAGGCUGAGGCAGGAGGAUCACCUGAACCUGGAAGGUCAAGACUGCAGUGAGCCAUGAUUGCACCACUGUACUCCAGCCUGGGCAACAGAGUGAAACCCUGUCUUGCUUAAAAAAAAAAAAACAAACAACUCAGGGUGCGGUGGCUCACACCUGUAAUCCCAACACUUUGGGAGGCCGAGGCAGGCAGAUUGCUUAAGCUCACGAGUUCAAGACCAGCCUGAUCAGCAUGGAGAAACCCUGUCUCUACAAAAAAUUAAAAGAAAAAAAAAA